Molecule: ribosomal RNA, 1415 nt
Filed under: Alternaria sp.
Lineage: Eukaryota; Fungi; Ascomycota; Dothideomycetes; Pleosporales; Pleosporaceae
Description: partial small subunit ribosomal RNA
Rfam family: Eukaryotic small subunit ribosomal RNA
Source: RNAcentral
AGUCAUAUGCUUGUCUCAAAGAUUAAGCCAUGCAUGUCUAAGUAUAAGCAAUUAUACCGUGAAACUGCGAAUGGCUCAUUAAAUCAGUUAUCGUUUAUUUGAUAAUACCUUACUACUUGGAUAACCGUGGUAAUUCUAGAGCUAAUACAUGCUGAAAAUCCCGACUUCGGAAGGGAUGUGUUUAUUAGAUAAAAAACCAAUGCCCUUCGGGGCUUUUUGGUGAUUCAUGAUAACUUUACGGAUCGCAUAGCCCUGCGCUGGCGACGGUUCAUUCAAAUUUCUGCCCUAUCAACUUUCGAUGGUAAGGUAUUGGCUUACCAUGGUUUCAACGGGUAACGGGGAAUUAGGGUUCGAUUCCGGAGAGGGAGCCUGAGAAACGGCUACCACAUCCAAGGAAGGCAGCAGGCGCGCAAAUUACCCAAUCCCGACACGGGGAGGUAGUGACAAUAAAUACUGAUACAGGGCUCUUUUGGGUCUUGUAAUUGGAAUGAGUACAAUUUAAACCUCUUAACGAGGAACAAUUGGAGGGCAAGUCUGGUGCCAGCAGCCGCGGUAAUUCCAGCUCCAAUAGCGUAUAUUAAAGUUGUUGCAGUUAAAAAGCUCGUAGUUGAAACUUGGGCCUGGCUGGCGGGUCCGCCUCACCGCGUGCACUCGUCCGGCCGGGCCUUCCUUCUGAAGAACCUCAUGCCCUUCACUGGGCGUGCUGGGGAAUCAGGACUUUUACUUUGAAAAAAUUAGAGUGUUCAAAGCAGGCCUUUGCUCGAAUACGUUAGCAUGGAAUAAUAAAAUAGGGCGUGCGUUUCUAUUUUGUUGGUUUCUAGAGACGCCGCAAUGAUUAACAGGAACAGUCGGGGGCAUCAGUAUUCAGUUGUCAGAGGUGAAAUUCUUGGAUUUACUGAAGACUAACUACUGCGAAAGCAUUUGCCAAGGAUGUUUUCAUUAAUCAGUGAACGAAAGUUAGGGGAUCGAAGACGAUCAGAUACCGUCGUAGUCUUAACCGUAAACUAUGCCGACUAGGGAUCGGGCGAUGUUCUUUUUCUGACUCGCUCGGCACCUUACGAGAAAUCAAAGUUUUUGGGUUCUGGGGGGAUUAUGGUCGCAAGGCUGAAACUUAAAGAAAUUGACGGAAGGUCACCACCAGGCGUGGAGCCUGCGGCUUAAUUUGACUCAACACGGGGAAACUCACCAGGUCCAGAUGAAAUAAGGAUUGACAGAUUGAGAGCUCUUUCUUGAUUUUUCAGGUGGUGGUGCAUGGCCGUUCUUAGUUCGUGGGGUGACUUGUCUGCUUAAUUGCGAUAACGAGCGAGACCUUACUCUGCUAAAUAGCCAGGCUAACUUUGGUUGGUCGCCGGCUUCUUAGAGAGACUAUCAACUCAAGUUGAUGGAAGUUUGAGGCAAUAACAGGUCUGUGAUGC